Molecule: long non-coding RNA, 4571 nt
Organism: Equus caballus (horse)
Lineage: Eukaryota; Metazoa; Chordata; Mammalia; Perissodactyla; Equidae
Source: Ensembl
UCCACUUGCUUAAAAGGGCAGAUACAGUGUGAGCCCACCUUCUUAGCACAUCUGUGAAAGGAUCUCACGCCAGACCAUCCAUUGUCUUAAUCAUUCGCUUUUAAAUUUUAAAGGCCAUAUGGCUCUAGUGUCUCUCCUCUAACAUAUUUAUCACCGCUCCUUCACCUUUUGAGUAGGCUGAAACAUGACACAUUACAUCUGUGUUGAUAGUGUUUCAAAAGUUACUUUCCCCAAGUUGUUUUCCAUUUAUUAUCCAGUCCUUUUAUUUUUUUGAAACUACUUGAGACAAUAGUCACCAAAAACAAAUCCAUGAACAUGUGGACAUCUGGGUUGUUUGAUUUCUACGCAUCCUACACUGCCACCAGAACUGUGUAAAUUUCAGUAUGGUUUGCUAGUUGGUCUGGCUGGCCCCUUGUCCGUUUUCCCAUCUUAACAUGAAAGAAAGCAGCUUUUCAUUUAACCCUGCCUCUGGUUGGAGUGGGACUACUAUCCACUAGCAAAAACAUUGUCUCUACCUUCCUCCAGAAAAUUCUCCCAGCGCUGUCUCCACUUAGAAAGAGGCUUUCCCUCACUAAUUGGUGACAUGGACACUCCUUGGAGCAGCAGAGGAGCAAGUGGCUGACUGGUACCUCCAUAUAUAGUGCCAUGGGGGCAUGGUUUGGCCCUUUUCUGAAGGUGUCCUUGCAAUUUUAAUUGGAUGGUCUCUGCUCCUCUCUGAUUUGAUUGGAUCCAUAGCAUAACAAAAGUCUCUUCUCCAGCAAUAAAAUGGUUUUGAGGUUUUGGGGACCUGCCCCAUUAAGUUAUUUCAAUAGACCCAAGAAGCUGUGGAGUAUUUGAUUUUCUAGGGCUGUAUAAGUUGCCUUUGCCCUUGGAAUUUCUUGCACUCAAGUCUUGCUGGUCUCUGGAGGAUACCACAGAUGGGUUCAUUCAACAUGGAUCCUAAGCUCCUUCCUACCCCAUAGGGGCUGGAAAACCAAAAACUACACUUCCUAGACCCCCUUGUUUCUGAUGCGAUUUGGCUUUUUCAGGUUUGAUCUUAAUUAGGAAUUGAGUUAAGUGGGAGAGAGGCUGCAGCCAAUGAUGCAUCCAUUUUGCUGAUACAGAUCCAGCAGGUGUGGCAUGGCUGAUAAUGGCCUUCAUCCUCCAAUCACAGCUAAGGCACAACUGAGAGCCAUUGUUGGAGCAGCAGCUUCCUGAUCCCCAGAUAACAGUGAAGGUGGUGUGCGCCUGGAUCCUGAAGUUUAGACAGUCGCCUCCUGUGUCAGCCUCUUGAUUUGCCAUCUUCCUGAUUGACCUAGAGAUAGCAGUUUCCUUGACAGCUGCCAGAGUGUGAAGAAGCCUAGGCCACAUGGAGAAACCACUUGUAGAUGUUCCAGCUAACAAACUCUUCUGUGGUCCUGGCCAGCAGCCUGUAUUAACUGCUAGACAUGUGAAUGAAGAAGCUUUCAAGACUAAUCCAAUCCCACAUAUCAUCUGACUGCAACUGUGUGAGAGAUCCCAGAUACAUUUAAAGAGCCGCAUGAACACAAUUAAGAGGAAGGUCAGACUGAUUGCAAGUUCAUGAUGAGUAAAUGCUCUUUAUACUGCAAAAUGUCUUGUGCAAGGUUUCAAUUUUCAAAACCACUGGACUAUUUGCUUGCUUUUUCCACGGAAGAGCUGUUUUAUGUACACCAAGAAAGUGGAAGUUUUGUUUUGUUUGACUUUGGGUUUUCGUCCUUACAAAGCGAAGCGUACAUUUGUCCUUUAAUAGUAAUAAGCAGAAAUAAGGCAAGUAGGUACCCAUUAUUCUAGAGCAGCCCUGUCUAAUAGAAAGGUCAUGUGAACCACAUAAGCAAUUUUAAAUUUCCUAGUAGCCACAUUAAAAAUUAAAAAGAAAUGAAUGAAAUUAACUUUAAUGAUAUAUUUUAUUUAACACAAUAUAUCCAAAAUAUUACCAUUACAACACAUGAUCAAUAUUACAAAAAAUAUAACAGUGAGUUAUUUAGCAUUCUUUUUUCUUACUGAGUCUUUGAAGUUUGAUGUGCACUUUAUACUUAGAGAACAUUUCAAUUUGGAUUAGCCACAUUUCAAGAGCUUGUGGCUACCAUAUUGGAUGGUGCGGGUCUAGGAAAGGGUAACAUGUCUUUAAAAAGUAAUUUAGUGAAAGCUAUCUCCAGCCUUGACAUGCCAAAGAGAUCGCUCACUAAUGGGUCGCUACAGGUCACUAGCACUAGCUAAAGUGCACAGAUUUGCAUGAAGAACCCAGGUCAGCUGGUGGAGGAGAGAAAGAUGAAAAUGUUAGGGAGAUCUCUCAAGGUGGACAAAAAGUGGCUAAAUUAGGACCUACUUUUAGGUAAUUGCAAAGUGGACUGGUUUUGCAAAAUUAAUUUUUGCCAGAGGUGAUUUUAUUGCAAACUUCAAAUGAACUCAGUUCCAAUGAAUUUGAUUAGUUGAUUAUUUGAGCACAGUGUCACAAUAUCUGUAAGAGGCUGUUGGCAGAGGAUGAAGCAUGAUCUGUCAUUUGCCUUUUGCUGGAGUGUCUCCUAGAUGAAGUGUGCAUGAUUGGAAUGACAAUGCUGCAGGCACGCUUUGCCCAUUUGUGUAUGGUCUUUCAUAAACUCAAAAGGGACACUUAGGGGUCUCUCAGCUUCCAUAGAUCUCCCCCCAAAAAAGGAGUCGGAGAAGCCCUGACAGAUGUCAGAGAGUCCUUUGCCCUUUAUUUUAUUGUAGAAGCUCUCAGGUCACCACUCAUGAACUUCUCCUUUCUUAAUUUACAUACCUACAUACAAUAAGAAUAAAGAUGAUGAUGUUACCCUGUGCUUGUAUUGCACUUUUACUUUCGAAAUCCCUUCCACAUAUAUUAUUUAUUUUCAUUUCAACAAACUUUCUGCAAGUUAAAGAAAGCAGUCCAAUCCUACUGCCUCAAGGCCUUGGAUCUUUAAAAAAUCAAUUCAGAUCCCUGAACCUUGCUCUUUUAUCUUGCAAUAUGAAUAAUACCAGUUUUCCCUUACGGCUUUUAGUUAAAUAAGACAGCAUAUUUAAAAUGCAUUGCAUAUUGUAUGUGAUCAUUAGGUGUUAGUUACCCUCAUCGUUAGAAAUUUAAAUUAAAAAUUUAGCAAACUGUAUGGUCAGUUUUAGACAUGUUGCAAUCUUCAUGGCUAAAGUAAACACUUUGACAUAUAAAAUCAUUGACCCCUAGGACUAGAAGGCUCUGAGAUUCCAAUCAGUAACAUGCUUUGAGGAGCUACAAUAUGCCAGGCACUGUGCCAGGCAUAGAGGGUCUACUCCACACUACAAGAGGCAGAAGCUGAGGACCAUUGUUCAUGGUCACAUGGUUAAUGUAUAAUGACAGUGGCAUUAAGCUAUAGCUUUUCUAAUAAGUCCAGCCACUUUUUAUGACACUACUUCCAUCUCUUCCUCCCCUAAACUCUUAACAAUUUGUUAUUUAGCUUGUGAGUCCACAUAAACAGCACACUGGAGAAAGCUGGACAGUACAUGAGUCAGGCAUACUGACAGCAAUAGUGACAGUUGACAUCCUGGGCUCAAGGGAGGAAGCAAAAACACUACAUUCUUAUAGCCCAUGACAGUAUCUGAUGUUCACAACGAUGACCCUGGAUCUUCUAAGAAUAGAGUUGAACAUAUUAAAAAAAAACUUUGUCAGAAAGAUUUUCAUCAAAAUGGCUUAAAUAACAUGACAUUGGAAAGGAUAGUAGACAACAUCUAGGCAAGUUGUUUUCAGCUGCUGUUUUUACAGAGGUGUCUGGGAGGCCACUAACUAUAGCUUCCAUAUCAAGUUUCAUCUGACAAAAGAGUUCCAUAAACACAUCACACACACAAUGUAUAUAUGCCUAUAUGUCAUAUAUUAUGUAUAGUAUGUAUGCCAUAUAUGUCAUGUAUAUAUAUAUAUAUUUAUAUCUAUCUCAACACUGAUGUGGUUCAACCAAUUUCUGUUGCCCUGCAAGCCUUCCCCCUCCCUAUUUCCCUGGGACUACUUACUAGGCUGGACCACUAGACCAGCUCCUGGGAUCUCUAGACUGGGCACAUGACUCAAGAUGGGCCAAGAAGACCCUCUGUCUCAGGAAUUUCAACGUUGCAUAGCGAUAUGCAGAGACUGAAAGUGGUUGGAAGUGAGUCAUCCGACAGCACUACGGAAAGGGAGUUCCUGAGUUCCUUUUGCUCUAAUCUCCAAGGUUUCAUGGUCUAGCUCUUCCUUUAAUUUGAUGAGUUAUUCCAGUAUCCUCUCAAUAAAUCACUGUUGAUUAAGUUAGUCAGAUUUGGUUUCUUUUUUUUGCAACAUGGCUACUUAAAUGAUAGCUUCAGGCAGUAAAAGUGAUUUGCUCAAAGUCACACAGUGAAUGAUAAAAACUUGGCAAGGUGAGUGUCUCCUGAUCACCAAUCUGGUCUCUAUAGGCAGAGGCAACCUUCAGUGUGGAACUCCCCACUCCAGAAUGAUUCUGAAUGAACAAUUCUGAAUGAUCCUGAGUGAAUGAGGCAUCACUGUAUCUGGCCAACACAAAAUUGAGGGUUAAAAUUAAGCAAAGAUGGUUCAGUCUGAGCAUAAAACAUACCUACAUAAUGCAAAUAUGUUCUUU